This 507-nucleotide ribosomal RNA is filed under the name uncultured bacterium. RNAcentral's name for it is "bacterial SSU rRNA". It matches the Rfam family "Bacterial small subunit ribosomal RNA", at positions 15 to 518 of the family's 1533-position model. The record is from RNAcentral.
GAUCCUGGCUUAGGAUGAACGCUGGCGGCGUGCUUAAUACAUGCAAGUCGAACGAAGCACUUUGACAGAUCCCCUCGGGGUGAAGAUGAUUGUGACUUAGUGGCGGACGGGUGAGUAACGCGUGGGGAACCUGCCUCGUGCUGGGGGAUAACAGUUAGAAAUGACUGCUAAUACCGCAUAAGCGCACAGUAAGGCAUCUUACAGUGUGAAAAAGAUUUAUCGGCAUGAGAUGGACCCGCGUCUGAUUAGGUAGUUGGCGGGGUAACGGCCCACCAAGCCCGCGAUCAGUAGCCGACUUGAGAGAGUGAUCGGCCACAUUGGGACUGAGACACGGCCCAGACUCCUACGGGAGGCAGCAGUAGGGAAUAUUGCACAAUGGGGGAAACCCUGAAUGCAGCGACGCCGCGUGAGUGAUGAAGUAUUUCGGUACGUAAAACUCUAUCAGCAGGGUAAGGUAAUGACGGUACCUGACUAAGAAGCCCCGGCUAACUACGUGCCAGCCGCAGC